CCUACGGGAGGCAGCAGUGGGGAAUUUUGGACAAUGGGCGCAAGCCUGAUCCAGCCAUGCCGCGUGCGGGAAGAAGGCCUUCGGGUUGUAAACCGCUUUUGUCAGGGAAGAAAUCCUUUGAGCUAAUACCUCGGGGGGAUGACGGUACCUGAAGAAUAAGCACCGGCUAACUACGUGCCAGCAGCCGCGGUAAUACGUAGGGUGCAAGCGUUAAUCGGAAUUACUGGGCGUAAAGCGUGCGCAGGCGGUUAUGUAAGACAGGUGUGAAAUCCCCGGGCUUAACCUGGGAACUGCACUUGUGACUGCAUAGCUUGAGUGCGGCAGAGGGGGAUGGAAUUCCGCGUGUAGCAGUGAAAUGCGUAGAUAUGCGGAGGAACACCGAUGGCGAAGGCAAUCCCCUGGGCCUGCACUGACGCUCAUGCACGAAAGCGUGGGGAGCAAACAGGAUUAGAUACCCUGGUAGUCCACGCCCUAAACGAUGUCAACUGGUUGUUGGACGGCUUGCUGUUCAGUAACGUAGCUAACGCGUGAAGUUGACCGCCUGGGGGAGGUACGGCCGCGAGGUAGAACGUACGAAGAAGUUAGACGGCGUGAGACGUAGACCGACGGACGACGACGAGGGAGGAGG
RNAcentral lists this ribosomal RNA (628 nucleotides) under uncultured bacterium. RNAcentral's name for it is "bacterial SSU rRNA". The stretch from base 1 to 542 matches the Rfam family "Bacterial small subunit ribosomal RNA", at positions 338 to 873 of the family's 1533-position model. The record is from RNAcentral.